UACGUAGGGUGCAAGCGUUGUCCGGAAUUAUUGGGCGUAAAGAGCUCGUAGGCGGUUUGUCGCGUCUGCUGUGAAAACUCGGGGCUUAACUCCGGGCCUGCAGUGGGUACGGGCAGACUAGAGUGCGGUAGGGGAGACUGGAAUUCCUGGUGUAGCGGUGAAAUGCGCAGAUAUCAGGAGGAACACCGGUGGCGAAGGCGGCUACCUGGCCCACUCUUGACGCUGAGGCGCGAAAGCUAGGGGAGCAAACGGG
This 253-nucleotide ribosomal RNA is filed under the name uncultured bacterium. Its description in RNAcentral is "partial 16S ribosomal RNA". It matches the Rfam family "Bacterial small subunit ribosomal RNA", at positions 524 to 776 of the family's 1533-position model. The record is from RNAcentral.